UGGGGAAUAUUGCACAAUGGGCGCAAGCCUGAUGCAGCCAUGCCGCGUGUGUGAAGAAGGCCUCGGGUUGUAAAGCACUUCAGCGAGGAGGAAGGUGGUGAACUUAAUACGUUCAUCAAUUGACGUUACUCGCAGAAGAAGCACCGGCUAACCCCGUGCCAGCAGCCGCGGUAAUACGGAGGGUGCAAGCGUUAAUCGGAAUUACUGGGCGUAAAGCGCACGCAGGCGGUUUGUUAAGUCAGAUGUGAAAUCCCCGGGCUCAACCUGGGAACUGCAUUUGAAACUGGCAAGCUAGAGUCUCGUAGAGGGGGGCUGAGAAUUCCAGGUGUAGCGGUGAAAUGCGUAGAGAUCUGGAGGAAUACCGGUGGCGAAGGCGGCCUCCUGGACGAAGACUGACGCUCAGGUGCGAAAGCGUGGGGGGCCAAACAGGAUUAGAUACCCCGGUAGUCCACGCUGUAAACGAUGUCGAUUUUGGAGGUUGUGCCCCUUGAGGCGUGGCUUCCGGAGCUAACGCGUUAAAUCGACCGCCUGGGGAGUACGG
RNAcentral lists this ribosomal RNA (541 nucleotides) under uncultured bacterium. RNAcentral's name for it is "partial 16S ribosomal RNA". It matches the Rfam family "Bacterial small subunit ribosomal RNA", at positions 355 to 885 of the family's 1533-position model. The record is from RNAcentral.